Molecule: ribosomal RNA, 503 nt
Filed under: uncultured Flavobacterium sp.
Lineage: Bacteria; Pseudomonadati; Bacteroidota; Flavobacteriia; Flavobacteriales; Flavobacteriaceae
Description: bacterial SSU rRNA
Rfam family: Bacterial small subunit ribosomal RNA
Source: RNAcentral
GAGUUUGAUCAUGGCUCAGGAUGAACGCUAGCGGCAGGCUUAACACAUGCAAGUCGAGGGGUAGAGUUAGCUUGCUAACUUGAGACCGGCGCACGGGUGCGUAACGCGUAUGCAAUCUACCUUGUACAGGGGGAUAGCCCAGAGAAAUUUGGAUUAAUACCCCAUAGUGUUAUGAUGUGGCAUCACAUUAUAACUAAAGUUCCAACGGUACAAGAUGAGCAUGCGUCCCAUUAGCUAGUUGGUGUGGUAACGGCAUACCAAGGCAACGAUGGGUAGGGGUCCUGAGAGGGAGAUCCCCCACACUGGUACUGAGACACGGACCAGACUCCUACGGGAGGCAGCAGUGAGGAAUAUUGGUCAAUGGGCGCAAGCCUGAACCAGCCAUGCCGCGUGCAGGAUGACGGUCCUAUGGAUUGUAAACUGCUUUUGUACAGGAAGAAACACUCCCCUCGUGAGGGAGCUUGACGGUACUGUAAGAAUAAGGAUCGGCUAACUCCGUGCCA